Molecule: unclassified non-coding RNA, 728 nt
Filed under: Vahlkampfia sp. AK-2007
Lineage: Eukaryota; Heterolobosea; Eutetramitea; Acrasida; Vahlkampfiidae
Description: partial contains ITS1, 5.8S ribiosomal RNA, ITS2, 28S ribosomal RNA
Rfam family: 5.8S ribosomal RNA (bases 229-382)
Source: RNAcentral
GAAAAACUUUGUCCAUCGGUGGGGCCUCUCCCUUCCUCAGGGAUUGGGGAGAUCACGCUCCGACACCCGAUCGGAACGGUUCAAGUCCCUUCCCGGGACGUCGAAGACCCAAGGUCGUCGAAAUCAUCCCGGGGAGACACCAAAAAAAAGUAGCCCCCUCGGCGAACUUGCAUCGAGGGAGGGAUCGAUUCGUCGAUCCUUCCGAGAAACGAGAAUAACCUAGUCGACUACUUUCGACGACGGAUACCUCGGUUCCCACGCCGAUGAAGAGCGCGGCGAAACGCGAUAUGUCGUGCGAAUCGCAGAAUUCGGCGAAUCACGCAAUCCUCGAACGCAUCCGGCGCUCUCGGGUCUUCCCGGGAGCAUGCCCGUCUGAGCGUCGUUCCCACGUAUCCCUCCCGGAGAUCGUCCGAAAGGCGACCCCACCGGUAGGGUGAUCGGGAGUCUGCGUUUACUCGCAGUCUCCUGGGAACGAGGCGCACCCCCUACUACCCCCGUCCGACUACGAGGGACUCGGUGCCUAUCUUCCGUCGAGAGCGCCCUUCGGGUGCAAACUCACAUCGGGAGUGCACGGCCCGUAUCCAUCCAAACUCCGGUCGAUCUCGGGAUCAGGUGUAAGGGUGUACAGACGCCGUCCGUGGUCCGUGAGACCAGGGUCGGAGGAACUAAAAAAUCUCCCUUUUUAACACGACCUAGAAUCGGGAAGAAUACCCGUGAACUAAGCAUAU